This 645-nucleotide unclassified non-coding RNA is filed under the name Hevea brasiliensis (rubber tree). The record is from RNAcentral. Lineage: Eukaryota; Viridiplantae; Streptophyta; Magnoliopsida; Malpighiales; Euphorbiaceae.
AAAUAAAAGCAUUUGGAGGGAUUAGUUCCAAUGGUUAUUAUAACAUAAAACUUGUGUGAAGCAUUUCUUUAUUAUUAUCAUAUAUAAUAUAUUUAUUGAUUCAUCUUCUGAAUAAUUACUUCUUCGAUGAUUAAUCCUCCUUUCCAUUUUCCACUCCAAACUUCAUAAAGUCCAAAACAAAGGUUGCUAUCUCCCGAUCGAGAGUCAGUUGUUGUAAUGGUAAGAUUAUUUGGUCCAACAUAUGAUCCAUUUGAUUCAACAUUAGCAUCUUUUGUUAAAUAAAUUUUCUUCCAUGAUUGUUUUGAUCCAUAUUUUACCAUAAAAUAGAGGGGUAACUCAUUAAAUCCAAAUGAAUCUGGUGUCAAUUUCACCUUGAACUUGACUUCAUAUUUUGUGUCUUUUUCUACUUUGUCACACAACCCUGUUACCUCUAGCCAACUCACUUGUACAAGUGUUGCUGGAUCCUUUUCCUCUUUGGGUGAUUUCCAAUAUCUUCCAUCCUUUCCCCAAACGAUAUUAAAGGCUGAAGGAUAAAUUCUGAACUUGGUCCCGUUUUCUAACACCUCAGAGAUAUGAUUUCCUACAUAGUGUGAAUCCUCCAUGUUGAAUUAAAGUCUUGAUAACGUAUAAAUAUUUGAGUUUUAU